This is a non-coding RNA of Myotis davidii, 76 nucleotides long. The record is from Rfam. Lineage: Eukaryota; Metazoa; Chordata; Mammalia; Chiroptera; Vespertilionidae.
GGUGGUUCUCAGGGGAUGCACUUUGGAAUUGGGCUCCCUCCUCUCUGGUUUCAGGGUGUGUCACCUAAGAACUGUU